UCUCCUCCACAUUUGCUUCUACAUUGAUUUCUCCUCCACAAUUCCUCUCCAUUAAUCUCCAUGUCUCCUCAAAUUUCUCUUCAAUGUUGCUGUCCAGAUAAUACAAAUUAGAGGUUUUAUUUCAAAGUAAAACAAUUUGGGCAGAAUUCUACAAAAGUGGACAUAGUGGUCAGAAAUUAGAGAGAAGAAGAAGAGGUGUAGAAUACAACUCAGGAAUGGAAGAAAAUAGAAAUAAUGUGUCUGCCCAAGAAAGAACUUCUGAGAGAAAUUUGCGUCGUCGUACCAGAUAUGCACAGAUGUAACCAGAGAGAAAGCAAUUAUUUUUAUCCGAGCUAAGAGAAAAAAGGGCUGAGUCAAAAAGACAAAAACACCUUCAUCAAUCAAAUACUACUGCCGCUCUUACAAUCAGUAGUUCUUCAUUAUCUCCUCAGGAAGUUGAAGCUUCUGAACCCACAAACCUCCCAGUUACUUUAACUACAGGACAACAUCAAUCAAAUAGUACUGGCGCCCUUACAAUCAACACUUCUUCAUUAUCUCCUCAACAAGAGGACAGUUCAUGUUGUAUGCGCCAAGAUUCAACUAUGGAGACAAGCAAUCAUUUAUUUGUUGAAUGUGAAUAUGCUACAAAAGUAAGAGAUACAGUAACUCAAUGGAUAAAAGUCUGUCUACCUACAAGAGGUUUCAAGGAAACAGUAGAAAUGAUCAAGAUAAAACAUUGGAAGAGUUUGAAGAAGCAAGUGAUAGCAGCUG
This is a long non-coding RNA of Solanum pennellii, 750 nucleotides long. RefSeq lists it as uncharacterized. Lineage: Eukaryota; Viridiplantae; Streptophyta; Magnoliopsida; Solanales; Solanaceae. The transcript is spliced from 4 exons. The record is from RefSeq and is a predicted model, not a curated record.